RNAcentral lists this ribosomal RNA (75 nucleotides) under Caerostris extrusa. Lineage: Eukaryota; Metazoa; Arthropoda; Arachnida; Araneae; Araneidae. The record is from RNAcentral.
AUCACCGAAGUCAAGCAUCAUUGGGCGCUGUCAGUACUUGUUUGGGUGACCACCUGGGAACACCGCGUGCCGUUA